GAUGAACGCUGGCGGCGUGCUUAACACAUGCAAGUCGAGCGAAGCAGUUAAGAAGAUUCUUCGGAUGAUUCUUAACUGACUGAGCGGCGGACGGGUGAGUAACGCGUGGGUGACCUGCCCCAUACCGGGGGAUAACAGCUGGAAACGGCUGCUAAUACCGCAUAAGCGCACAGAGCUGCAUGGCUCGGUGUGAAAAACUCCGGUGGUAUGGGAUGGGCCCGCGUCUGAUUAGGCAGUUGGCGGGGUAACGGCCCACCAAACCGACGAUCAGUAGCCGGCCUGAGAGGGCGACCGGCCACAUUGGGACUGAGACACGGCCCAAACUCCUACGGGAGGCAGCAGUGGGGAAUAUUGCACAAUGGGGGAAACCCUGAUGCAGCGACGCCGCGUGAGCGAAGAAGUAUUUCGGUAUGUAAAGCUCUAUCAGCAGGGAAGAUAAUGACGGUACCUGACUAAGAAGCCCCGG
Molecule: ribosomal RNA, 466 nt
Filed under: uncultured bacterium
Lineage: Bacteria
Description: bacterial SSU rRNA
Rfam family: Bacterial small subunit ribosomal RNA
Source: RNAcentral